This is a long non-coding RNA of Kogia breviceps (pygmy sperm whale), 663 nucleotides long. RefSeq lists it as uncharacterized. Lineage: Eukaryota; Metazoa; Chordata; Mammalia; Artiodactyla; Physeteridae. The record is from RefSeq and is a predicted model, not a curated record.
UGUUAUCACUGCCAUCCAGGGCAAAAAACGGGCGGACUACAGUAUGAUACCAGAGCAGCGCUAAUCUAAAGGAAGAGGGAGAGAAACCGCUACUGUCACUUUAUUGAGGACGCACUUAGGGAAAUGCAGCAUUCCAGGGGACAGCAACAGGAGUGUCCCAGGACUCACCCUACUCCAUGUCCCAAAUGCGGUGACCGAAACAUCUGAGCGCAGCCAGACUUCGACGGGAAGAACAGAGGCUGUGUGAGGACCGCGUGGAGAAGCUGCGCUCCAGGCCCACAGCACCGCGGCCCCAGUGAGAGGGACGCUUAGUCAGCUGAUGCCCAGCAACGUGGCCAGGAGCAGCCUCUGCCCAACAAGCGGAGAAAACAGUUGAACACAGGGCCCCUCAAUCUGCACAGGCUUUCAUAGGCUCCUCUGAAACAUCAGACAUAAAACUUUCAACCACCAUGACUGCGUCCCCGGAGGAAUGCACAGAGAGCAGAAAACCACAGACCGUCUGCCCUCCCCUGUCAGGGGCAGCCUCAACCAGCCAGAGAUGCAGGAGAGAUGGGAAAUCCUGUCCCCAUAACGGGGGUGGGAGUCCUCCCCUAGAAAGGGCAAGAGUUGUCAGGAAAAUUAAAAUAUCAAGUUACACUAAAUGGAUCCUGGAAUAAAUGUUGU